RNAcentral lists this ribosomal RNA (396 nucleotides) under uncultured bacterium. Its description in RNAcentral is "bacterial SSU rRNA". It matches the Rfam family "Bacterial small subunit ribosomal RNA", at positions 32 to 407 of the family's 1533-position model. The record is from RNAcentral.
AAUCAACGCUGGCGGCGUGCCUCAGACAUGCAAGUCGAACGCGAAAGUCCCCUUCGGGGGACAAGUAGAGUGGCGCACGGGUGAGUAACACGUAGGUAAUCUACCUUUGGAUGGGGAAUAACAACCGGAAACGGUUGCUAAUACCGCAUAAUGCAGCGGCACCUAAUGGUGACAGUUGUUAAAGCGGGGGAUUGAAAGACCUCGCGUCUGAAGAGGAGCCUGCGGCGGAUUAGCUGGUUGGUAAGGUAACGGCUUACCAAGGCGACGAUCCGUAGCCGGCCUGAGAGGGCGGUCGGCCACACUGACACUGACAUACGGGUCAGACUCCUACGGGAGGCAGCAGUCGGGAAUUUUGGGCAAUGGGCGAAAGCCUGACCCAGCAACGCCGCGUGAAGG